This 292-nucleotide ribosomal RNA is filed under the name uncultured Pseudomonas sp. RNAcentral's name for it is "partial 16S ribosomal RNA". It matches the Rfam family "Bacterial small subunit ribosomal RNA", at positions 505 to 796 of the family's 1533-position model. Lineage: Bacteria; Pseudomonadati; Pseudomonadota; Gammaproteobacteria; Pseudomonadales; Pseudomonadaceae. The record is from RNAcentral.
GUGCCAGCAGCCGCGGUAAUACGAAGGGUGCAAGCGUUAAUCGGAAUUACUGGGCGUAAAGCGCGCGUAGGUGGUUCGUUAAGUUGGAUGUGAAAGCCCCGGGCUCAACCUGGGAACUGCAUCCAAAACUGGCGAGCUAGAGUACGGUAGAGGGUGGUGGAAUUUCCUGUGUAGCGGUGAAAUGCGUAGAUAUAGGAAGGAACACCAGUGGCGAAGGCGACCACCUGGACUGAUACUGACACUGAGGUGCGAAAGCGUGGGGAGCAAACAGGAUUAGAUACCCUUGUAGUCC